This is a long non-coding RNA of Physeter macrocephalus (sperm whale), 213 nucleotides long. RefSeq lists it as uncharacterized. NCBI's taxonomy places the organism in Eukaryota, Metazoa, Chordata, Mammalia, Artiodactyla, Physeteridae. The record is from RefSeq and is a predicted model, not a curated record. The transcript has 3 exons.
ACAGAAGAUGAAAAGGUUGACUUGGAUGUGUUGAUGGAUGCAGCACUUUUACAGGAGAUGGAAAGGUAUAUAAGAAAAGAUUGCUGGAUAGCGUGAAGCCUCUCAAAGGGAAAAAAGUCAGUGUCAAUAACCUAGACACGCUAAUGGAGAACAUGGAAAUUCAGCUUGAGAAAGAGGACUAUGAAGACUUACUGACCCAUCUGCCAGCUGAUG